Molecule: ribosomal RNA, 419 nt
Filed under: bacterium
Lineage: Bacteria
Description: partial 16S ribosomal RNA
Rfam family: Bacterial small subunit ribosomal RNA
Source: RNAcentral
UGGGGGAUAUUGCACAAUGGGCGAAAGCCUGAUGCAGCGACGCCGCGUGGGGGAUGAAGGCCUUCGGGUUGUAAACUUCUUUUGCUCUGAACAAGGCAUGCUAAUGGGUGUGUUGAGUGUAGGGGUUGAUUAGCGCCGGCUAACUACGUGCCAGCAGCCGCGGUAAUACGUAGGGCGCGAGCGUUGUCCGGAAUUAUUGGGCGUAAAGGGCUUGUAGGUGGCUGGUUGCGUCUGUCGUGAAAGCUCAUGGCUUAACUGUGGGUUUGCGGUGGGUACGGGCUGGCUUGAGUGCAGUAGGGGAGGCUGGAAUUCCUGGUGUAGCGGUGGAAUGCGCAGAUAUCAGGAGGAAUACCGGUGGCGAAGGCGGGUCUCUGGGCUGUUACUGACACUGAGGAGCGAAAGCAUGGGGAGCUAACAGG